GGUCGAAUCGGCCAGCUGCGUCUGACGUAUCAGCGCAGCCAUUUUUGUACGCGUCGUAGUGCACGUACAGCAGAAAAUCUUAAAUUUGUGAAGCUUUGUGAAGCUUUGUAAUGCUUUAUCAACUAAGAAAGCAUAUUUAGUACAAUUCUGCAUCCUGUCCAUCACUGCAGUCCUGAGUCACCAUGGAGGGCUGCCAUUUAUCCUGUUCGUUUUAUAACUGUAAGCGGACCUACACUCAUCCAGACGCUCUGGACACCCACCUGAAGGAUCAUCACAAGACCCCUGCACAGUCCCUGCCUGGUAAGUCCUUCCUGUGCUCGACGAUAGGAUGUGACGGAUCUUUCUCCAGCAUGCAGCAGCUGAUGGAUCACAUGAGGCAUCACCACAAGCCAAAUUAUUUCUUCCUAUGUGAGAGCUGCAGGGCCAAGCUCCGCUCCUACCGCACCCUCCUCAAGCACCUCCAGACGUGCGCCAAGGUCGCCAAAAGCAAAGCGGCGAGAGUGGACGGAGGUCCGAUGCCCGAUCCGGCUUUUCUCAGCGCUGAUUCCGAUCCUGCUGGUUCUGUCUCAGCUGUAGAUGAAUCUCAGCAGAUGGAGUCUGACCCCUCGCUGCCUCCUCAAGCUCCGUUCCACAUGACUUCAUCAGAACAAGUGUUGUCAGCUCCUCCAGCAGAAGCCGCCGCUGCUUUUGAGGCUGUGAAGCUCCAGAAUCAGCUGGAUGCUCCCUACAGCCCGUUUCCCCCCAGCCUGUCUCCUGCCCCUGAUCCCGAGCCACAGCGCUCGCCCAGAGUCGGUCCGGUCAGCAUGGUGACCUCCCCACCACACACUCCACCAGGAUCUAACGCCGUCUGGAGGAAGAACCAAGCAGACUUGCCCGCGCCCAUUUUGCACAGAUGGAACUCUCCUCAGGCUUUGAGUAGAGAGGAAGUCCAGGUCAAUCCUUUAACAGUCGGAUCCUAUGGGAGCACACCAGGGGGCGCUACAGUUGCCUUCAGUGCGGUCACUGCACUCCCGAGCGUAAAGAGAUGACGGCACACAUCGAGGGCCAGCACAGGAGCCCGGGGGCCAAAACUAAUGACACGGAUGCAGCGAUCGGUUCACCUUCAUCCCUGAUUAAAACCUCAACAAACUCUGAGGACACGAAUUACACCCAGCUUUAGACUCACACCAGAUGAUAAACUUCGGAAUUGGACGGUUCUUGUAGCUCGCAUGAAGUGAACGGAGUGGAAAAUGACAUGCUGCAUUACCUACACUGACAUUUUCAAGCAACAAAGUGAUGUAAUGGCUUUGUAGCUGAAUCCCAACAACUUAAUGUUCCACUUAUUUUCAUUUUCCUUUUAGGUUGUAAUUAUAGUGUGAAUUUUUUUUUUUAUAACUUUUGUAGCUCAUUUUAAUGCAUACAACAGCAGUUUGUAUUUUCUUCAGUAGUGACUUGUAACUUAUUUGCACUUGAUUGUACACAGAUGUAAGUGCAUCAAUGUUGUUUUUGCAAAGUAAAAUAUUUAAAUGGUC
This is an RNA transcript of Pangasianodon hypophthalmus (striped catfish), 1511 nucleotides long. It is a transcript of the gene named zinc finger protein 414, with no coding region annotated. The transcript has 8 exons. The record is from RefSeq and is a predicted model, not a curated record. Lineage: Eukaryota; Metazoa; Chordata; Actinopteri; Siluriformes; Pangasiidae.